UACGUAGGGUGCGAGCGUUAAUCGGAAUUACUGGGCGUAAAGCGUGCGCAGGCGGUUCGCUGUGUCCGAUGUGAAAGCCCCGGGCUUAACCUGGGAAUGGCAUUGGAAACUGGCGGGCUUGAGUGUGGCAGAGGGGGGUGGAAUUCCGCGUGUAGCAGUGAAAUGCGUAGAUAUGUGGAGGAACACCGAUGGCGAAGGCAGCCCCCUGGGUUAACACUGACGCUCAUGCACGAAAGCGUGGGGAGCAAGCAGG
RNAcentral lists this ribosomal RNA (253 nucleotides) under uncultured bacterium. RNAcentral's name for it is "partial 16S ribosomal RNA". It matches the Rfam family "Bacterial small subunit ribosomal RNA", at positions 524 to 776 of the family's 1533-position model. The record is from RNAcentral.